Molecule: long non-coding RNA, 242 nt
Filed under: Elaeis guineensis (African oil palm)
Lineage: Eukaryota; Viridiplantae; Streptophyta; Magnoliopsida; Arecales; Arecaceae
Description: long non-coding RNA (EGUI_LNC068592)
Source: RNAcentral
AAUAUUUAAGAUUAAAAUUUUAAAAUUUUAAGUCUCACUAGUAUGACCCAUUCAUGUCUCCUAAAGUUAUUGUCCUAAUCAUUGGGAUUCAUCAUAAUCUUAGACAUAAUAAGAUGCAGCUAGAAUGGUGAAUCAAUACCUCAUUUUAUUAUCAAAUAAUAAAUACCAUUACAUGAGUUAAAAAAUUACAAAGAAAAGUUCCAUCGCAACACACUUACAAUUGGCUUAUAGGGCAUUCUUCU